CACUGGGACUGAGACACGGCCCAGACUCCUACGGGAGGCAGCAGUGGGGAAUAUUGCACAAUGGGCGAAAGCCUGAUGCAGCGACGCCGCGUGAGGGAUGACGGCCUUCGGGUUGUAAACCUCUUUCAGCAGGGAAGAAGCGAGAGUGACGGUACCUGCAGAAGAAGCGCCGGCUAACUACGUGCCAGCAGCCGCGGUAAUACGUAGGGCGCAAGCGUUGUCCGGAAUUAUUGGGCGUAAAGAGCUCGUAGGCGGCUUGUCACGUCGGUUGUGAAAGCCCGGGGCUUAACCCCGGGUCUGCAGUCGAUACGGGCAGGCUAGAGUUCGGUAGGGGAGAUCGGAAUUCCUGGUGUAGCGGUGAAAUGCGCAGAUAUCAGGAGGAACACCGGUGGCGAAGGCGGAUCUCUGGGCCGAUACUGACGCUGAGGAGCGAAAGCGUGGGGAGCGAACAGGAUUAGAUACCCUGGUAGUCCACGCCGUAAACGGUGGGCACUAGGUGUGGGCAACAUUCCACGUUGUCCGUGCCGCAGCUAACGCAUUAAGUGCCCCGCCUGGGGAGUACGGCCGCAAGGCUAAAACUCAAAGGAAUUGACGGGGGCUCGCACAGCGGCGGAGCAUGUGGCUUAAUUCGAC
Molecule: ribosomal RNA, 633 nt
Filed under: actinomycete CXB646
Lineage: Bacteria; Bacillati; Actinomycetota; Actinomycetes; Actinomycetales
Description: bacterial SSU rRNA
Rfam family: Bacterial small subunit ribosomal RNA
Source: RNAcentral